UUUGUUUUAGUAUAAUUAUUAUAUUAGCUUUUCGUGCUAGAGAUGGAGUUGAAUCCAAACAAAC
This 64-nucleotide transfer RNA is filed under the name Anoplocephala perfoliata. RNAcentral's name for it is "tRNA-Glu". Lineage: Eukaryota; Metazoa; Platyhelminthes; Cestoda; Cyclophyllidea; Anoplocephalidae. The record is from RNAcentral.